GAGAAGGUGGCUCAGUGGUAGAGUGCUUGUCUUGCAUGCAUGAGGUCCUGGGUUCGAUUCCUCAGUGUCCCA
Non-coding RNA from Dipodomys ordii (Ord's kangaroo rat), 72 nucleotides. Lineage: Eukaryota; Metazoa; Chordata; Mammalia; Rodentia; Heteromyidae. The record is from Rfam.